RNAcentral lists this ribosomal RNA (460 nucleotides) under uncultured bacterium. RNAcentral describes it as "partial 16S ribosomal RNA". It matches the Rfam family "Bacterial small subunit ribosomal RNA", at positions 338 to 795 of the family's 1533-position model. The record is from RNAcentral.
CCUACGGGGGACAGCAGUGAGGAAUAUUGGUCAAUGGACGAGAGUCUGAACCAGCCAAGUAGCGUGAAGGAUGACUGCCCUAUGGGUUGUAAACUUCUUUUAUAUGGGAAUAAAAUGUUCCACGUGUGGGAUUUUGUAUGUACCAUAUGAAUAAGGAUCGGCUAACUCCGUGCCAGCAGCCGCGGUAAUACGGAGGAUCCGAGCGUUAUCCGGAUUUAUUGGGUUUAAAGGGAUCGUAGGUGGAUUGUUAAGUCAGUUGUGAAAGUUUGCGGCUCAACCGUAAAAUUGCAGUUGAAACUGGCAGUCUUGAGUACAGUAGAGGUGGGCGGAAUUCGUGGUGUAGCGGUGAAAUGCUUAGAUAUCACGAAGAACUCCGAUUGCGAAGGCAGUUCACUGGACUGCAACUGACACUGAGGCUCGAAAGUGUGGGUAUCAAACAGGAUUAGAUACCCGUGUAGUC